AUACGGAGGGUGCAGGCGUUACUCGGAAUCACUGGGCGUAAAGCGCGCGCAGGCGGCUUGAUAAGUUGGAGGUGAAAGCCUACGGCUCAACCGUAGAACUGCAUCCAAAACUGUCAAGCUAGAGUCUGGGAGGGGAAGAUGGAAUUAGUUGUGUAGGGGUAAAAUCCGUAGAGAUAACUAGGAAUACCAAAAGCGAAGGCGAUCUUCUGGAACAGUACUGACGCUGAGGCGCGAAAGCGUGGGGAGCAAACAGGAUUAGAAACCCCAGUAGUCC
Molecule: ribosomal RNA, 274 nt
Filed under: uncultured bacterium
Lineage: Bacteria
Description: partial 16S ribosomal RNA
Rfam family: Bacterial small subunit ribosomal RNA
Source: RNAcentral